UCCGUAGGUGAACCUGCGGAGGGAUCAUUACCGAGUUUACAACUCCCAAACCCCAAUGUGAACGUUACCAAUCUGUUGCCUCGGCGGGAUUCUCUUGCCCCGGGCGCGUCGCAGCCCCGGAUCCCAUGGCGCCCGCCGGAGGACCAACUCCAAACUCUUUUUUUCUCUCCGUCGCGGCUCCCGUCGCGGCUCUGUUUUAUUUUUGCUCUGAGCCUUUCUCGGCGACCCUAGCGGGCGUCUCGAAAAUGAAUCAAAACUUUCAACAACGGAUCUCUUGGUUCUGGCAUCGAUGAAGAACGCAGCGAAAUGCGAUAAGUAAUGUGAAUUGCAGAAUUCAGUGAAUCAUCGAAUCUUUGAACGCACAUUGCGCCCGCCAGUAUUCUGGCGGGCAUGCCUGUCCGAGCGUCAUUUCAACCCUCGAACCCCUCCGGGGGGUCGGCGUUGGGGGAUCGGCCCCUCACCGGGCCGCCCCCGAAAUACAGUGGCGGUCUCGCCGCAGCCUCUCCUGCGCAGUAGUUUGCACACUCGCACCGGGAGCGCGGCGCGGCCACAGCCGUAAAACACCCCAAACUUCUGAAAUGUUGACCUCGGAUCAGGUAGGAAUACCCGCUGAACUUAAGCAUAUCAAUAAGCGGAGGA
RNAcentral lists this ribosomal RNA (639 nucleotides) under Trichoderma longibrachiatum. Its description in RNAcentral is "eukaryotic LSU rRNA". The stretch from base 255 to 408 matches the Rfam family "5.8S ribosomal RNA". Lineage: Eukaryota; Fungi; Ascomycota; Sordariomycetes; Hypocreales; Hypocreaceae. The record is from RNAcentral.